UAUAAGAUGCCUGAAAAAGGAUAAUUUUGAUAGAAUUAAUAAUGUAAUUAUUUACUCUUAUAA
This 63-nucleotide transfer RNA is filed under the name Phygasia gracilicornis. RNAcentral's name for it is "tRNA-Ile". The record is from RNAcentral. Lineage: Eukaryota; Metazoa; Arthropoda; Insecta; Coleoptera; Chrysomelidae.